Molecule: long non-coding RNA, 5053 nt
Filed under: Homo sapiens (human)
Lineage: Eukaryota; Metazoa; Chordata; Mammalia; Primates; Hominidae
Description: HSALNT0261861
Source: RNAcentral
AUCCAAUCAACUCAUCGCUCAUCUGGAUGGGGUCCUCUCCCACUUUCUUCACUAUUGUGUGUGUCCCUCUCUCAUUCUGCACCUUUCCUCCCCUUUUCUGUUUUUCUCCUCUUUAUGUCUGUUCUGCCCGAUGCUCUGCAACUUACUUCACCUCUCGUAGCUCUUUCUCCCCAAUCUUUCUGAUUGUCCCCAAUCUCCACGUAUUUCCGCCUCUUUUUCCCCAUCUGAGCUCCCUCUCUGCUCUCCUUGUUAAAAUUCCCUCUUACCUGUUACACCUCCUUUGUUCCCACUCUCUAGCACCCCCAACUCCCUAGGCUUCCUCCCUGCUGUGGUUCUCCCUCUACUCUGCUUGUCACCCACUGCCCUCUCUCCCUCUCUUUCAGUCCCAGCACCACGUAGCUCUGUCGGCUGCGGCUCCAACUCUUUCACCUUCUCCCCACUGUCUGUCUGCAGUGCCUCCUCCUUUGCCGCCCCACUCUAUUUUGCUGCCUUUCAUCUCUCUGAAGGUCCCCCUUUUUUUCUAAAUUUCUCUGUGUGCUUUCCUCCCCCUGCUUCUUUCUCCAUUCGUUCUCUUUCACUCUUGCUGUCUCUUUGCAAAUCCCUAAAUUAUCAUCCAUUUUGCCGUGUAUUUAUGGGUCUCCCUCAUUCUCUUCUAUUCGGUCUUUCCUUUUGCUCCGUCGCUCCCCUUCUUUUCCUCUCCUGAUCCCUCUCACCCACACAUUCAGUAAGAAAGGGGAGGAAUAGGAUGCCCACCUCCCGGAAAAGCAUAUUUUCCAGUGGAGUAAAAUUUGGGAAGGAAGAACACUGGGUGUCACAAGACUCAGGUGACCUCCCCCAAGGGGGGGAUCGAGAAAAGCAGUGGCUGUGAAGGGGAAGCCUGGGGAGCGAAAGGACCCGGCGUGAGGAGGACACAAGGUGGCAGGGGGUACGGUGUCUCAGGACAGGGAGGGUCUGCAGAAUCCCAGGACCUGGGAGGAGAAGCGACUCCUUCAGGAGCCGGACGGCGGGCGCUCCCCUCCAGGGGCUGACGACGGAGAAGCUCCGGGGUCGCAACGGGCGGGAAUCCACCUCCCGAGUGAGGACUCGACUUGGCGCAGGGCCGAAGCAGAGAUGGCAGAAAAACAAGAGGAGCUCCAGCCCACACAGGAGGUAGAAAGUAGAAUCUAUGCCACGUGGAGUCCAGUUUGAGUUCAGCCAUAGGCACUGAGUGUCCUCCCACAAAGAAAUGGCUCUCUAUUAUUUGAAGGGCACUCUUGUUGGCACUGCUGCCUGGAGCUACUGGACACUGAGAGCGUGCAUCUCAGACCAGAGUUCUAGGCCUGCAUCACAGAGCGACGGAACAGCACAAAGGUUCUUUAGUGCGGAGAAGAGAUAAAAAGGAGAAGGUGAGCCCUGACCCUCCUCCCACCAUCCAGUCUAGCCAACCCCAGCAAAUGUCUGAAACCAACCCAAUCCCUUCACUGUUCUUUUUCCUUUUUCUUUUGAGACAGGGGUUUACUCUGUUGCCCAGGCUAGAAUGCUGUGGCACGCCCAGGCUAGAGUGCUGUGGCACGAUCACGGCUCACUGCAGCCUCAACACCUCCAGGCUCAAGUGAUCCUCCCACCUUAGCCUGCCAAGUAGCUGGGACUCUGGGACUACAGGUGCACAACACCACGCCCAGCUAAUUUUUGAUUUUUUAUAGAGACGGUCUUACUAUGUUUCCCAGGCUGGUUUCAAACUCCAGGGCUCAAGCUAUCUAGCCACCUCAGCCUCGAAAAGUGCUGGGAUUUAUAGGUGUGAACCACCAUGCCCAGCCCACUGUUCUUUUUUUAAACUCUAAAAAAUAUUAUAUCUUUUAGCUUUUUCUCUUUCCUUUCUUUUUUAGACAGGGUCUUGCUCUGUCACCCAGGCUGGAGUGCAGUGGUAUGAUCACCACAGCAUUGACAUCCCGGCCUCAGGCGAUCCUCCCACUUCAGCCUCCCAGUAGUUGGGACUACAGGCAUGCGCCGCCACACCUGUUGGGAGCCGAAAAGGCCAAAGGGAUCAUGACCAACUCAGCGUUCCGCUGGAGACUAUAUUAUCAAACUGCAAACUGUUUAUCAUGAAUGCAGGAUGUGGGCACACUCACACUGCCCUGCCACCAAAAGGUUUGCUGAGGGCCUCACUCCCUGGCACCGGGCUCCUUGAAGUUAUCUAUUGAGAAAUCUAGCACCUAUUGUUCGAAGAAUGCAGUCUUGCAAGCCUGCUGUCAAUCAAACUGCUGACCGACAACCCCCCACCGCUCUUGCUAUCUCUUUUGCCUAAUAAAUACGGAGGGCUGUGUAGGAGGACUGUGUAAAGCUCAGGGUCCUUGUCCACUAGAGGCAAGUGCCCCCUGACCCCUUCUUCCAAAUAUACUCUCUUGUCUUUGUCUUUUAUUCCCUCGUUCACCCUCCUUUGUUCAGUCCCCCUAGGUCCGUGCCGGCUACACACACCUAGUUAAUUUUUUUUUUUUCCUGUGGAGAUGAGGUUCCACUAUGUUGCCUAGGCUGGUCUCAAACACCUGGGUUCAAGGGAUCCUUCCGCCUCUGUUUCCUAAACUGCUGGGAUUAUAGGCGUGAGCCACUUGCAUGUGGUCCCUUCACUCUUCUCUAAGCCUCCAUCUAUUCCAUUUCCAUCCCCUCAUCAUAUCAAACAUACCCUUUGGGCCGGGCACGGUGGCUCACACCUGUAAUCCCAGUACUUUGGGAGGCUGAAGAUGGGCAGAUCACUUGAGGUCAGGAGUUCGAGACCAUCCUGGGCAACAUGGUGAAACCCCAUCUCUACUAAAAAUACAAAAAUUAGCUGGGUGUGGUGGUGCACACCUGUAGUCCCAGCUACUCAGGAGACUGAGGCAGGAGAAUCACUUGAACCUGGGAGACAGAGGUUGCAGUGAGCUGAGAUUGCCCCACUGCACUCCACUUGGGCAACAGAGCAAGACUCUGUCUUAAAUAAAUAAAUAAAUAAAUAUAAAAAACAUAUACCUUGGUAAAACUUUAUUUAUUCCACAUGUAACUGAGAUCUCAUAUGAGUCUAGCAUCACUCUUAGAGAGCUAGACUUUAACCUCAUUAAUCUAUCAUCCUGAAAGUCCAUCGUUUUCCCACAAAUGUUUGCUAAUUCCCAGGGAUUUAUACUCUCAGGAUCUACUAUGUCCUCUAUUCAAGCUUUCUUGUAAAACUUGUCUUUGCUUUAAAUUAACACAGCUUUUCUUUCUAGUAGCCCCCAAAAAACCACAUUCACAGAAAAGCCUCACUUAGCCAUUUGGCCUUUUUUUAUUCAUUUUUAUUUUGAGACAGAGUCUCACUCUGUCACCCAGGCUGUGGUGCAGGGGUGGAUCAUAGCUCACUAUAGCCUCAAACUCCUGGGCUCAAGGGAUCCUCCUACCUUAGCCUUCUGAGUAGGUAGGAUUACAGAUGUAUGCCACCAGGCCCAGUGUCAGGCCUCUGAGCCCAAGCCUGCAUGUAUACAUCCAGAUGGCCUGAAGCAACUGAAGAAUCACAAAAGAAGUAAAAAUGGCUAGCUCCUGCCUUAACUGAUGACAUUACCUUGCGAAACUCCUUCUCCUGGCUCAGAAGCUCCCCGACUGAGCGUCUUGUGACCCCCGCCCCUGCCCACAAGAGAACAACCCCCUUUGACUGUAAUUUUCCACUACCUACCCAAAUCCUAUAAGACUGCCCCACCCCAUCUCCCUUCUCUGACUCUCUUUUCGGACUCAGCCCACCUGUACCCAUGUGAUUAAACAUCUUUACUUAUUAUUAUUUUUUUUUCCCCGAGAUGGAGUCUUGCUCUGUCACCUAGGCUGGAGAGCAGUGGCGUGAUCUCGGCUCACUGCAACCUCCGCCUCCCGGGUUCAAGCCAUUCUCCUGCUUCAGCCUCCCGAGUAGCUGGGAUUACAGGUACCCGCCAUCACGUCCGGCUAAUUUUUUGUAUUUUGUAUUUAGGGGUUUCACCAUGUUAGCCAGGAUGGUCUCGAUCUUCUGACCUUGUGAUCCACCCGCUUUGGCCUCCCAAAGUGCUGGGAUUACAGGCGUGAGCCACUACGCCCAGCAAAAAGCUUUAUUGCUCACACAAAGCCUGUUGGUGGUCUCUUCACACGGACGCCCUUGACACCCAGCUAGUUUUUUUGUUUUUUGUUUUGUUUUGUUUUUGGAGACAGGGUCUCGCUCUGUCACCCAGGCUGGAUUACAAUGGUGGGAUCAUAGCUCAACCUCCUGGGCUCAAGUGACACUCCUGUCUCAGCCUCCUGAGUAGCUGGGAACACAGGCACACACCACCAUGCCUGGCUAAUUUUUGAAUUUUUUUGUGGAGACGAAGUCUCACCAUGUUGCCCAGGCUGUUCUCAAACCCCAGGGUCAAGUGAUCCUCCUGCCUUGGCCUCUCAAAAUGUUGGGAUUACAGGCAUGAGCCACCAUAUUGGGCCUUUUUUUUAAGAGAGAGAUGGGGUCUUACUAUGUUGUCCAGGUUGGCCUCAAACUUCUGGCCACAAGUGAUCCUCCUGCCUUGGACUCUCAAACAGUUGGGAUUACAGGUGUGAGCCACCGUGCCCAACCCUGGCCUUUAUUAAAGACACUGCAUGGCUGACACACAAGGAAAGAGAUGCCAUCCAGCUCCAUGGGAAACAGUUUCGUAACCUUAUUGUAAUUAUUUUUCUUCCAGUCCCUUCUGGGCUGCUCUUGCAUUGGGGGCUUGAAGCUCUUCCCUUCUACCUGUGCAGCCCCUUACCCUGCUGUCCUGCUCUUCUCUGUCCUGGUUCCUCUCUCCCUCAACAUUUUAUGUUCUCCAUCUAUAUAGGUCAAUUUUCUCCCAAAUCUAUUCUCCAAUUUGUACACUUAAACUCAUUUUGAUUUGGAGAAUGUGAGUCUUCCCUUUAACAUAAUUGUGUCCCUUAUGAGAGCAGUUAGUUUUAAAUGGCAACAUUAUUUUGUUGCUUUAAGUUUUUUUUUUUUUUUUCCUAGGAAUCUUAGCUCUGCAGGGUUCUUUGAGCUUUUAAAAACUACUUUAUGGCCGGGCACGGUGGCUCAUGCCUGUAAUCCCAGCACUUCGGGAGGCCGAGG